GACGAACCGUGCGAACGUUGUUCGGAAUCACUGGGCUUAAAGGGCGCGUAGGCGGGCUAACAAGUCUGGGGUGAAAUGCCGCGGCUCAACCGUGGAACUGCCUCAGAUACUGUCGGCCUCGAGGAAGGUAGGGGCAUGCGGAACUGUAGGUGGAGCGGUGAAAUGCGUUGAGAUGACUUGGAACACCAAUGGCGAAAGCACUUGUCUGGACGGAGACUGACGCUGAGAUACGAAAGCCAAGGGAGCGAACAGG
This 253-nucleotide ribosomal RNA is filed under the name uncultured bacterium. RNAcentral's name for it is "partial 16S ribosomal RNA". It matches the Rfam family "Bacterial small subunit ribosomal RNA", at positions 524 to 776 of the family's 1533-position model. The record is from RNAcentral.